This 267-nucleotide ribosomal RNA is filed under the name uncultured bacterium. RNAcentral's name for it is "partial 16S ribosomal RNA". It matches the Rfam family "Bacterial small subunit ribosomal RNA", at positions 88 to 354 of the family's 1533-position model. The record is from RNAcentral.
AUGGCGACCGGCGUACGGGUGAGUAACGCGUAUCCAACCUGCCCUUUACUAUGGGACAGCCCGUCGAAAGGCGGAUUAAUACCGUAUGUUGUCAUGUUGAUGCAUAUUUUCAUGACCAAAGGCUUCGGCCGGUAAAGGAUGGGGAUGCGUCUGAUUAGCUUGCCGGCGGGGUAACGGCCCACCGGGGCGACGAUCAGUAGGGGUUCUGAGAGGAAGGUCCCCACAUUGGAACUGAGACACGGUCCAAACUCCUACGGAAGGCAGCAG